This 899-nucleotide ribosomal RNA is filed under the name Colletotrichum gloeosporioides. RNAcentral's name for it is "LSU rRNA". It matches the Rfam family "Eukaryotic large subunit ribosomal RNA", at positions 38 to 968 of the family's 3401-position model. The record is from RNAcentral. Lineage: Eukaryota; Fungi; Ascomycota; Sordariomycetes; Glomerellales; Glomerellaceae.
GCAUAUCAAUAAGCGGAGGAAAAGAAACCAACAGGGAUUGCCUCAGUAACGGCGAGUGAAGCGGCAACAGCUCAAAUUUGAAAUCUGGCCCCAGGCCCGAGUUGUAAUUUGCAGAGGAUGCUUUUGGUGCGGUGCCUUCCAAGUUCCCUAGAACGGGACGCCAGAGAGGGUGAGAGCCCCGUACAGUUGGACACCAAGCCUUUGUAAAGCUCCUUCGACGAGUCGAGUAGUUUGGGAAUGCUGCUCAAAAUGGGAGGUAUAUUUCUUCUAAAGCUAAAUACCGGCCAGAGACCGAUAGCGCACAAGUAGAGUGAUCGAAAGAUGAAAAGCACUUUGAAAAGAGGGUUAAACAGCACGUGAAAUUGUUAAAAGGGAAGCGCUUGUGACCAGACUUGCGUCCGGUGAAUCACCCAGCUCUCGCGGCUGGGGCACUUCGCCGGCUCAGGCCAGCAUCAGCUCGCUGUCGGGGACAAAAGCUUCAGGAACGUAGCUCUCUUCGGGGAGUGUUAUAGCCUGUUGCACAAUACCCUUCGGCGGGCUGAGGUACGCGCUCCGCAAGGAUGCUGGCAUAAUGGUCAUCAGCGACCCGUCUUGAAACACGGACCAAGGAGUCAACCUUAUGUGCGAGUGUUCGGGUGUCAAACCCCUACGCGUAAUGAAAGUGAACGCAGGUGAGAGCUUCGGCGCAUCAUCGACCGAUCCUGAUGUUCUCGGAUGGAUUUGAGUAAGAGCAUAUAGGGUUGGACCCGAAAGAAGGUGAACUAUGCGUGUAUAGGGUGAAGCCAGAGGAAACUCUGGUGGAGGCUCGCAGCGGUUCUGACGUGCAAAUCGAUCGUCAAAUAUGCGCAUGGGGGCGAAAGACUAAUCGAACCUUCUAGUAGCUGGUUUCCGCCGAAGUU